This 802-nucleotide long non-coding RNA is filed under the name Malus domestica (apple). RNAcentral's name for it is "long non-coding RNA (MDOM_LNC002586)". Lineage: Eukaryota; Viridiplantae; Streptophyta; Magnoliopsida; Rosales; Rosaceae. The record is from RNAcentral.
AACGUUCAAAGAUCCACAUUAUGCUUCUAAAACAUCAUACUAAAAUUUCAUUAUGAUCAAACGGUUGGAUCUCCGCCAAUUGCAAAUUCAAGUGGCGGUUAACGUUUUAUUUUAUGAACUUACAAUUCUAAUUCGGGAAGAUCCGAGCAUCGGAUUCCUGAUCCAUAAGUUCCUAUGCUCUUCAAAUAUUACGUACUAUAACGGAUUGAAUUUUGGUGACGAUUAAACGGUCAGAUUGUCGAUUCAUUUACUAACCAAGCAACGUAUCAUAAUGAAUUUAGGUUCAAACAAUCAACCCGCGUCAUACGAAUAUCAACACUGAAUUUAAGACAUCUAAUUUAGCCUAAAAUAAGCAUCAACAGCCCCUUAGCCAUGCAUCGCCGUGGGUGGCGGUUGGCAGUCCCGACUUGCUUGAAAAUUUCAACUAUUUCUAAAAAUUAUCAAAAUUUACAGGAAUGAAGAUCUCAACAAGCAGAACAAGUUUCAUACAUGUGACUAAGGUUAAUUUGGCUGGGAAACACCUCAAUUUCACUCAAACCCGUAGGACACCCUUGAAUUUGGGUGUUCUUGAUUCGACUCCAAAACAACUCCGACGCACCAACCAAUGCUUGGGUUUUGUUCCAGGCCUCAAGGGAAAUCUAAUCGAUAGGAUUUCAUUCAAAAAUGGCGGAUCGCCGUCAAUGAUGCCGUCGGCAUUGUGCUCAUUCUUUCACGAAAUUGAACUCAAAGGCCCUUAAAUUUGAGCUAAGAUGGUAGAUAGGGAGUUGUGGUAUAGCUUUUGGGUGAUGGAAUGGUAAAUUUC